GAUGAACGCUGGCGGCGUGCCUAAUACAUGCAAGUCGAGCGAACGGACGAGAAGCUUGCUUCUCUGAUGUUAGCGGCGGACGGGUGAGUAACACGUGGAUAACCUACCUAUAAGACUGGGAUAACUUCGGGAAACCGGAGCUAAUACCGGAUAAUAUUUUGAACCGCAUGGUUCAAAAGUGAAAGACGGUCUUGCUGUCACUUAUAGAUGGAUCCGCGCUGCAUUAGCUAGUUGGUAAGGUAACGGCUUACCAAGGCAACGAUGCAUAGCCGACCUGAGAGGGUCGUCGGCCACACUGGAACUGAGACACGGUCCAGACUCCUACGGGAGGCAGCAGUAGGGAAUCUUCCGCAAUGGGCGAAAGCCUGACGGAGCAACGCCGCGUGAGUGAUGAAGGUCUUCGGAUCGUAAAACUCUGUUAUUAGGGAAGAACAUAUGUGUAAGUAACUGUGCACAUCUUGACGGUACCUAAUCAGAAAGCCACGGCUAACUACGUG
This 497-nucleotide ribosomal RNA is filed under the name uncultured bacterium. RNAcentral's name for it is "partial 16S ribosomal RNA". It matches the Rfam family "Bacterial small subunit ribosomal RNA", at positions 28 to 507 of the family's 1533-position model. The record is from RNAcentral.